GCCGGCAGCCAUAUCACCCUGCAACUCCCCACUGAAGCUCAGCAGGUGUGAGCCUGGCCAGUACCUGGAUGGGAGACCUCCAGGGAAAAAUUAUGGUUUCUGCUGGAA
This 108-nucleotide ribosomal RNA is filed under the name Lepisosteus oculatus (spotted gar). The record is from RNAcentral. Lineage: Eukaryota; Metazoa; Chordata; Actinopteri; Semionotiformes; Lepisosteidae.